This 601-nucleotide ribosomal RNA is filed under the name uncultured Actinobacteridae bacterium. RNAcentral describes it as "bacterial SSU rRNA". It matches the Rfam family "Bacterial small subunit ribosomal RNA", at positions 252 to 866 of the family's 1533-position model. The record is from RNAcentral. Lineage: Bacteria; Bacillati; Actinomycetota; Actinomycetes.
GUGAGGUAACGGCUCACCAAGGCAUCGACGGGUAGCUGGUCUGAGAGGACGAUCAGCCACACUGGAACUGAGACACGGUCCAGACUCCUACGGGAGGCAGCAGCAGGGAAUAUUGCACAAUGGGCGAAAUCCUGAUGCAGCAACGCCGCGUGAGGGAUGACGGCCUUCGGGUUGUAAACCUCUUUCAGGAGGGAAGAAAUUGACGGUACCUCCAAAAGAAGCCCCGGCUAACUACGUGCCAGCAGCCGCGGUAAUACGUAGGGGGCGAGCGUUGUCCGGAUUUAUUGGGCGUAAAGAGCUCGUAGGCGGCUCAGUAAGUCGGCUGUGAAAGUCCGAGGCUCAACCUCGGAACUGCAGUCGAUACUGCUGUGGCUAGAGUCAGGUAGAGGAGAAUGGAAUUCCCGGUGUAGCGGUGGAAUGCGCAGAUAUCGGGAGGAACACCAGUAGCGAAGGCGGUUCUCUGGGCCUGUACUGACGCUGAGGAGCGAAAGCGUGGGGAGCAAACAGGAUUAGAUACCCUGGUAGUCCACGCCGUAAACGUUGGGUACUAGGUGUGGCGAUCGGACUAACGAUUGCCGUGCCGAAGCUAACGCAUUAAGUA